Long non-coding RNA from Cucumis sativus (cucumber), 263 nucleotides. RefSeq lists it as uncharacterized. The transcript is spliced from 2 exons. The record is from RefSeq and is a predicted model, not a curated record. NCBI's taxonomy places the organism in Eukaryota, Viridiplantae, Streptophyta, Magnoliopsida, Cucurbitales, Cucurbitaceae.
UUGAUGUAAUUCAAGUUGGAUUGAUUUUUCAAAAGAAUUCUCUGCCAUAUUUCAGGCUAGGAGACUGUUAUAUAUUGAUAUCUCAAGGUUAGUUACAAGUUAGUUACAAGGUUGUUUUAUUUAGUUAGUUACAAGACUGUUUUAGGAAGUUAGUUACAGCUGUAUUUCUAAUUAGUUAGGGAUUUUUACUAACUAACUAGCUAUAGUUUACAUCAAAUAUACUAAUAGAUUUAUCAAAAAACAAAAAAAUAGGAAGUUAAAUA